This is a long non-coding RNA of Aquila chrysaetos chrysaetos, 6924 nucleotides long. RefSeq lists it as uncharacterized. Lineage: Eukaryota; Metazoa; Chordata; Aves; Accipitriformes; Accipitridae. The transcript has 8 exons. The record is from RefSeq and is a predicted model, not a curated record.
UAACAGCAUAGUAAAAUAGUUAAUUUUCAGCUCUUCACUGAUACUGAGUCUUAGCUUUUAUUUAGUCAAAAUAUCUGAAUACAUACUGUGAGUUAAGUGCUUUUGUCCUCUUCUGAAAAGAAUAGCUGCUCGUUAGAGAUUGAGACGCCUUUUGCAUACAGAGACUUUCCUAGUUGAGUACUUUAGUAUCAACUAACUGGGGGCCUAACUCAACGCAUUGGUAAAGGUAUUAAUAUCUUUGAUUCAACUAGAGCACACAUUACCUGAUUUAGGUGAUGCCACUGAACAGUUAGGUAUUUCCAACGAUGUUUUCUGGGUGUUUGUGCCUGACUUAGAAGGCUGUUUCAGCUGGGCGUGGUGUAACCUGGAUGGAGGUGCAGGAUGAUGUCUGCUUCAAGAGCCCCGACACUUCAGCCUGCCUGUCGGUGUGAACAUGCUGCAUGCUGAACUGGGCUUACGAGGCUGGAAAACGGAGAAGAGACAAGAAGCUGCAAGUCGUGACUGUAACCUGCUUUAAAUAUUGGUUGGUAUUUGGUUAGAAGGGUGGUCAAGUCCCUGUGAGGAGCAGGAAGGUGCUCGGGUAAUGUGUGAUGCGCUUAAUAAAAAUGCGGCUCUUGGUUGAGAGGAAGCCUUUGCUUCCAGGCCUUAUUUCAAAUCCUGCUGGGUCAGUUGACAUCAUGGAUAUUUUCACGAGGAGGCUCCUUAGAAACCUGUCCAAAUUAACAGAUUGGGUGUCUUGGCGCAAUUCCCCGUUAUUGUGCAAGCGCUGCUCUCGCAGCAGGCUCCUCUUCUGACAUUUGAAACGCAGAGGGAAAAGGUUGAAUCUUGGAAAUAGUUGCCCGUGCCAGGUUGGGGUGAGAGGUGGGCUGGGAAACUCUGUGUGUGAUUAACUGGAGACUGAUGGCUAAAUCUAUCUAUUUUUAUUGGCAGUAAACCGAAAUUUAAAGUAAAGCCGCUGUAAUUUGCUGCCGAGUGAGCGGAGUUACCGCUGAAGGCACUGGAGCUGCGCGUGUGCCUCGGGACAGAGCGUCGCUUGUGAAGACAGCGUUCGGCUCUUCGGCGCUCUGGCUUUCCGCAUUUACAGGGCCCUCGUGCUUUUUACCCAUACAGACCCGGGGUGUUGUCAGUGGAUCUGAAAGGAGGAAACCUGAGGAUGGAGCUGCUGCCUUCAAGAGUGGAUGAGGCUGGUGGUGUGGCAGCGCCGAGGUGCUCUCUGCAAUUGCGUAGAUUUUUGUCUCGACGGGGCUGUAGUCCAGCUGUCUCCUCAGAGUUUGCCAGUCCUUACCAAACGUACCUGCAAAGCGCUUGCCUGGCUGGCUGCAUAGUUACCACACGAGAGGGGAUUUGAAUAGGUCUUCCUGUCCAAAAAUUGCAUUGUGUUCAACUUAAAAGGCCUCUCUCAAAGUCUAAACUAAGUUAUUGGCUGAUGUGGCACUCGGCGCAAUACUCGGAGCAGCUCAGAGCCAGCCUGCAAGAACUGCGCUGUGAUUCGCGUGGAUUCAGUUGCUGCUUGAAGGCAGGUGCCUCUGCACCGCAAAAAGUGGCAUCACUUUGUGCCGCAGGAUUUUGCUUCGGUGACUUAAAAUUAUGUUGCUGGAGUUUUAAAUAAAUAAAUACUACCCUUUCAGAACAAAAUUUAAGCAUUACAUUAUAGCUUCUGUAGGAACAUAUCUCUGAAAUAAUUUUACUUAUUUACGUUACAAAGUGAUUGCAGUAUGUGCUGAAAUUCACCUUUCCAUGAUUCACGUUGCUAGAAUGCACAUGUGGAAGAGGUACAAGAAAUUCUUUUGCUUAAACAUCAGUCCUGGAGACUCAACAUUUUCUUUCCAUAUUCAAAAAGAAAUUUAUCUUUUUGUGAUACUCAUUGAUAAUUAACUGCUCUGCGCACUGCAUCUUACUAUUCUAUGGGCCCGAAGAUUUUUCUGUUGGAAACAAAAGGAAAAUCGAUUUCAACAAAUUCAGUUGUUGCCUUCUUAUUAGGUUCCGGUAUUCAAUGUAAAUUAAUGUUUUGAAUUUAUGUCAUCGAUCAAUAGGUGCAACUAUUGAUUUGGGAUGUAUGAGGUAAAAAGUGAAUAAAUAAGUUUUUGUCUUUGUUUUUAUAACAUGAAAACAUGUCAAAGUUUAUUGAGCUGCAAGUUACUUUGUAGUGAACCUGAGGCGGAAUCAGAAACACAAGAAUAAUGUUAGUCUAUUUAUUUCUUGGAUGCUGAUAGAUUUUUCUUAAAAUGCUGACUGACAGGUAAUUUUAAAAGUUUAUUUAGAAAGCUGGGGUGUAAGGGUUUGCUGUCUGAUCACAGGUCCUGAUGCCCAUUCGAUCUUCUGUGGGACCUGUUGAGAAGUGGGAAGUUAUCUUGCAUACAAUCCUUUUAAUUGUGGUUUUGUGCCUUUUGUGUAAAUUUGCUCAAUUACAGGUGCUGGUAGAGCUGUGACCAUGCUGUGCUGAUUCAGUAGUUCAGGGCCAAUUUCAGGCUCUCGCUCACCUCAUGGACAAUGAUAUCUCGACUUGAUAUUGGCUGAAGGAGAUGACUAUUUCCACAAUCCCUUAACAUGCCAUAGCUGUGAGACUGGGAAAGUCAAGUAGCGGUGGAGGCUGUUUAAGGGGAGGAAGGAACUAAUAAUAUGCUGGAAAACUGAGGGGGACAAAAAGGAAUUUGAAAAUCGGAGGGAAGCAGCAGUUGAAAACGAAUCUGUUCCAAGGUCUGAGCUUGCAGUACUGUGAAGAUAGGACAGAGCAGAAGUACCAGUGCGGUCAUCUCCUAAUGGUCCAAAAUCAAGAGAGAGGUCAAACCAGUCACAGACUUACAAUGCACAAAUUCAGGCUCAUCCAUCCUGGUAUUACAUUAGCAAUUCUACUUUGUUCUUCUGUGAAGCAAGUUUCAGUUUACAGGUACAUCUGCUUUCCAUUCCACGGCUUAAAGAAAGUCAUCAGGAAAAUCUUAAAACCUACUUAAUGAAGCCUUUUAAAUGCUCAUCCUGCACUUUUGAGUGAAGUGCAAUUUAUAUUUCAUAAAAGUAGAAGCUGAGCUGCAAGCUGUAAGUAAUUAUCAUAUAAUUAAAUGUCUACUAUGAAAGAAAUGAAAACUCAGGCUUCUUGGGAGGCUUCUGCGACUCGUUUAUGCAAUCACAAAUUAAAUUACAUUUCUUUACCUUAUGAAUGUUCUGGAGGUACAUUAACCCAGUUUGGAGAUGCACCUCUGAGACUGCUAAGCUGCUUUGAAAGGGGAAGUUCAUCAAACCAGUAAAUUCCAUGGGCCAAGAAGAAGAACACGUAAAUAUCUGUGAUGGGUUCUGCAAAUACCCUUCUCUUCCCCCCGUGCUGUCUGUGAGUGCUCCCAGAGCCCCGACGUCGCCUCGCCUGCAGCUGCAGGGGGAUGGUGUAAGGCUGCCUUGCGGACUCCCGCUCAGCCGAGACUCCUGUGGGAUCUCGUCAGCUUGUUUCGAGGUGACCUGAGUUGAACAAGGCUACCUUUAAGAAAAUGGCAUGAUGAAGAGCUGCAGUCCCUGCUGUGGCUGGUACGAAGUGGUACCCGCUUUGCUAUAAUCAUCACUCCCAGGCCAGGCUGUGGAGACUUGGGCUAACGUGUCAGUACGUCUGCGUGUGAAGCUGCAGAGAGUCACAGUGAAUUAAUUUGCUGUUUGCUUCUGCUCCUUGCUUUCAAGUCUGCCGCAAAGCCUUGGACCUGGCUGACACUAGAAGGGAUGACUAUCAAUCAGCAUGGGCCGCUGGCUGUGCUGCUGCCCAGCUCCGCAGGCGUGUCAGCCCCACGGACCGCACUGCCGCCUCCAGCAGCAUCUACCAGGAGAGUGAGCAGAGGUCUCUGCUGGAUGCCCCUCGUCCUGCCUGGGACGCAGCCGGAGACCGUGCUGGAUGCUUCGACCUGGAUUUUGUGGACCUAGACGUUUGAUGUACACCCAGCCCUGUGAGUGCAGCCUGCACCAAGUGGGUAUCGCUGGGGUUGAAUUUUGAGGCAACCUGUGAUGGUAAUUCAGCAUAACACUGGGGAGUCAAGGUAGGGAGAUAUGUCCCUAGUUUAUUUUUAUCCUGUAACAUGCAAAAAAUUUAACAGUUCUAGCGGAUUCUGAUUUCAGAGCGACUGACAAGUAUUUUCUUCCCCAAAUUUAAUUUGAACUAACAAUUCUUUAAGCACUCCAAGCUAAAUUGGCCGUGGCACUGUCAGGUUGGCUUUAAGUAUUGCCCUUCCCACUCCUGGUAGCUGGAACAGUUGUGCUUUUGUUUUACAAUUAAUAUUUUGAUGAAAACUUGUAAGGUACUGUAGGCAUAAAUAUUUAAUAUCUUCCCUCCAUGUUUCUUUAUUGCUGAGCUUAGUGAUAAGUUAGUAAUUCAGACUUAAAUGCAGAUAAAACAGUAAUGUGAACAGUUUAAAUCUGCAUUUUUCCAAAGCUCCUGUGGUCAAGAUGACUGCGUUCUAGCAAGAGUAUUGCUAUUUAAAAUUGUUUACCUCUAUACUUCAGCUGAAUGCUGCUGUAUAUGAUAAAUGAGGUAAAUAAAGGUGCCUUUCGGGUCCCAAUAACUGCACAAGAAACCUAAUCAUUCUCACUAACAUAAAAUAAUUUAACAAAUGGAACAGUGCCAUAGCAGCCUAAUAAGAAAUUUCUGAAUACUGCACCACAUAUGGCCAAAGCCUCUUGAGGCAUAAUUCAAGCUUUUUUCUUUCUUCCCCAUUUAUAGUAGGUUUGUUUCAUGUUUAAUGUGGAAUAAAACUUUGUGGGCAGCAUCCCACAUUUUGUUUUUUCGGUUUAUUUAGUUUUUGAUCUGGACACGAAACACUAUUAUUUACCUUUGUGCCAUGAUAACUGGUACCACUUCACCUUAUAGGUAAAAAACAUAGGAAUUCAUGGCACUGUUCCUUGGGAGAGGGUAGACUGCUGACAUAAGGUUCAGAUUUUCAUCUCUUUACAGACACACCUAUGUCUCUUAAGCCAGAUAGAACGAUGCCUUUAAAGGCAAAUGUUAAAGCCCGUGUCCCACUGUCUCUUCUUCCUCCUUUCCUUCCUUCUUUGGCUCCCCCAGAAGAAAGUAAUUUCUGAGCAGAUGGAGAUAUUACUAUUUAAUAAGAGUAAUCUUUGCACAACACUGAUGGGCUUUUGCUAGCCAAGACAGUGUCAUUUGGCUUUGUAUUUUUAAAUACUGUUAUUCUUAACAGCAUUACCAUUUGAGGAAAAAGAAGUUAAUCUACCGCUUUGUUAGUGUAAUCUGGGUUAUCUCCUGUGGAGAUGCAUUUGCGAGGCUUUGGUCUGAGGGAAUUUGUCUGGAAUUUAAGUACUUCUACUGCUCGCUUAAGCAGGAUAAACAUCUUGGGUUUCUGUCUAGAGUACACACUGGCAGAGAGCACCAAACAGAGAUUUAAUAAAAUUUCAAAUUCCUCUCCAAAGCACAGUUUAGUUGCAGGUUUUGUAUGUUUAUCUGAAGAGUCAACUUGUGCCCUAAUCCUACACUUUGAUCCACUUUGUAAGCCUUUCUGUCUUGUCUUGCAGAUGCCAAUGUAGAUGUACCUCAUGUAGAAAUGCAAAUAAAAAUAGAGUUGAGGGGAAAUGCAACUUUAUUAGAGCCUCAGGAUCCUCAAGAAACGUUUAUCCCAAAGUCUGCUGGUUAAAACAAACAUAAGAACCAUCUGUGAGAGUGUGUCUCAAUUCCAGCUGUUUGAAUCCAACCAUUACUUGAAAUCUAUGGAUACUAAAAUCUCCUUGGCCUCGUUACAUCUUAAUUGUAAGAGAGGCUGGAUGUUGCCGGUGUGUUUUGCACAACCUUCUCCAGAAAGCUCCUGGCAGCCGUGGAGAUGAGCUGUCCCCAGCGGAAGAGUGGCAGUCGGAUACGCCAUCACCUUGCACUACUCCAGCUUCCCGCGAGCAUAAGAUGCCGUUUGGGAGUAGCACGAGCCUGAGCGUGGCUCUGCGUGCAGUUGUAAUCGUGUGGCUCCAAAUGAGACUGCUGCCGGCGUCUGUCCGUGCAAAUAAGCGCGGGUCAAGGCUGGUUUGCCUCAUGGCUCGCUCUGCAGAUGCAGCCUGGUGAGUGGACGUCCGAGAUGAAGUUCGUGCCCUUCAAGAGACUUGGGGAACGAGGCCGAGCUCCGAGUUGAGGCGUCAGUGGAGGGGAGGAGGUGGGGAGCUUUGUUUGGGCGGUGGUUCAAGGGCUGUUAGCGCUAACUGUGUGAAAAUACGCCUUCCUCAUUGGAGUCAACGUCUGAGUAUCCUAACAAAUGCGGGAGCACGCCUGUUAACAAGAAAUCAUUUUCUGAUGGCUACUUUUGUUGCUGUAAUGUUUUUCCUGCCCUUCUACACAGGAUCUUGUCUUACAGGUAUUUGCUUUCCGUAUGGAUCUCUUGCUGUUCAUCAGUGCAUUGUCAUCCUGCCUUCUGUGUUCUCCUUUCCCCAAGAAGUCCAUAUAACCUGCUAAAGUUAAACUGCUGGGAUUUCCCCCCGACUUUAAACAGUUUCUUUUACUCCUAUUAGUUUGUUUGGAAAGUUGAAAAGCCGGAGUAAUCAAAAAUAAUCAUUGGUGUCAAAACUAUUAUGAAUUAUUAAAAGGAGCACAGCAACGGGAGCUACAGAUAAUUCCUCAUUCUGAAAAUGAGCACGUCUUAUGUUAUUGCUGCAGUAAUUACCUAAAAAUACCUAAUACUUAAUUACUUCCAAGGUGUCAAUCUUCAUAACAGUUUAUUAGAAAAUUCUAAUGGAUGGAGCAGCUGCUUCCACAAGCAAAUCUAUUUGUGGCUGAACCUGACAUUCUGCUCUAAAUAUUAUUCCACCUUGAUCAACGUUAUUUCUCCACGUAUAUCUUGUUACAGCUGUAACAGAUUGGGAAGGGAGGGUUUAUCCAGCUGCAGCGGGAAUUGCUCUGCUCACUCAUGACUUCCAUCUUCAUACUGUUAGAGCAAGUAGAAAUGCUUGCAACCAAUUUAUAAC